CAAAACGUAGCUUAAAAAUAAAGCAUCUAGCUUACACCUAGAAGACUUCAGGUAAUACCUGGCCGCUUUGA
This is a non-coding RNA of Fukomys damarensis (Damara mole-rat), 71 nucleotides long. NCBI's taxonomy places the organism in Eukaryota, Metazoa, Chordata, Mammalia, Rodentia, Bathyergidae. The record is from Rfam.